AUUGAACGCUGGCGGCAGGCCUAACACAUGCAAGUCGAACGGUAACAGGAAGCAGCUUGCUGCUUUGCUGACGAGUGGCGGACGGGUGAGUAAUGUCUGGGAAACUGCCCGAUGGAGGGGGAUAACUACUGGAAACGGUAGCUAAUACCGCAUAACGUCGCAAGACCAAAGAGGGGGACCUUAGGGCCUCUUGCCAUCGGAUGUGCCCAGAUGGGAUUAGCUAGUAGGUGGGGUAACGGCUCACCUAGGCGACGAUCCCUAGCUGGUCUGAGAGGAUGACCAGCCACACUGGAACUGAGGCACGGUCCAGACUCCUACGGGAGGCAGCAGUGGGGAAUAUUGCACAAUGGGCGCAAGCCUGAUGCAGCCAUGCCGCGUGUAUGAAGAAGGCCUUCGGGUUGUAAAGUACUUUCAGCGGGGAGGAAGGGAGUAAAGUUAAUACCUUUUCUCAUUGACGUUACCCGCAGAAGAAGCACCGGCUAACUCCGUG
This 490-nucleotide ribosomal RNA is filed under the name uncultured bacterium. RNAcentral describes it as "partial 16S ribosomal RNA". It matches the Rfam family "Bacterial small subunit ribosomal RNA", at positions 30 to 507 of the family's 1533-position model. The record is from RNAcentral.